This 253-nucleotide ribosomal RNA is filed under the name uncultured bacterium. RNAcentral's name for it is "partial 16S ribosomal RNA". It matches the Rfam family "Bacterial small subunit ribosomal RNA", at positions 524 to 776 of the family's 1533-position model. The record is from RNAcentral.
GACGUAGGGUGCGAGCGUUGUCCGGAUUUAUUGGGCGUAAAGAGCUCGUAGGCGGCUUGUUGCGUCGACCGUGAAAACCCGGGGCUCAACUUCGGGCUUGCGGUCGAUACGGGCGGGCUAGAGUUCGGUAGGGGAGACUGGAAUUCCUGGUGUAGCGGUGAAAUGCGCAGAUAUCAGGAAGAACACCCGUGGCGAAGGCGGCUCUCUGGGACGGUACUGACGCUGAGACGCGAAAGCGUGGGGAGCGAACAGG